Molecule: long non-coding RNA, 3482 nt
Filed under: Homo sapiens (human)
Lineage: Eukaryota; Metazoa; Chordata; Mammalia; Primates; Hominidae
Description: HSALNT0048741
Source: RNAcentral
CUAGGCUUGAACUUCAGGACACACAGCCCCGAGGGUCAACGGGUGGACUCUGUCGUUCCUCUUCUGCUCAGCUCCCGGUUUACUACACACAACGGGCUGGACACUGUACUCCCAGGGCACUCUGGAUGUUAGGAAAUUCAAAGCCAGGCACAGGGGCAGGUGGUGACCUGCAGACCCCAGGGUCAGCUGGAGCCAAGCCCCUAAGGCAGCAUUAGGACAGGCCCAUGUCCCCUUGGAGAGAGAACUGUGAAUCAACAGUCACUCAGGGAAGGAGACGAGCCAGGGACAGUUCUCUUCCUACUGCUCAGCGGACACUCCAUCCAGAGUGGCCAAGGACCAUUCUCUGGCUUCUUCUUUCUUCAUGUCCCUUUUAAAACAGUCCCCAAAGCCAAGCAAGCCUGGGGCCGGGACCCUUUCUGCAUAAGGGCACCCAAGGGGAGGCCAGGAGGCGGGGAGACCACAGGUGCCCAUGCCUCUCUCCAGGAGACAAAUCUGGCACCAGAGCAGCUAGAUACAGAGUGUCGAUCGGUGCAUUCACAAACCCUGAGCUAGACACAGGGUGCUGAUUGCUGUGUUUACAAACCUUGAGCUAGAUACAGAGUGCCGAUUGGUGUAUUUACAAUCCCUGAGCUAGACAUAAAGGUUCUCCAAGGCCCCACCAGAGCAGCUAGAUACAGAGUGUCGACUGGUGCAUUCACAAACCCUGAGCUAGACACAGGGUGCUGAUUGCUGUGUUUACAAACCUUGAGCUAGAUACAGAGUGCCGAUUGGUGUAUUCACAAUCCCUGAGCUAGACAUAAAGAUUUUCCACGCCCCCACCAGACUCAGGAGCCCAGCUGGCUUCACUCAGUGGAUUCCGCACCGGGGCUGCAGGUGGAGCUGCCUGCCAGUCCCGCCCCGUGCGCCCGCACGCCUCAGCCCUUGGGUGGUUGAUGGGACUGGGCGCCAUGGAGCAGGGGGUGGCGCUCAUCGGGGAGGCUCGGGCCGCACAGGAGCCCAUGGAGGGGGUGGGAGGCUCAGGCAUGGCGGGCUGCAGGUCCCGAGCCCUGCCCUGCGGGAAGGCAGCUAAGGCCCGGUGAGAAAUCGAGCGCAGCGCCGGUGGUCUGGCACUGCUGGGGGACCCAGUACACCCUCUGCAGCCGCUGGCCCGGGUGCUAAGCCCCUCAUUGCCCGGGGCCGGCAGGGCCGGCCGCCUGCUCAGAGUGCGGGGCCUGCCAAGCCCACGCCCACCCGGAACUCCAGCUGGCGCGCAAGCUCCGCGCGCAGCCCUGGUUCCCGCUCGCGCCUCUCCCUCCACACCUCCCUGCAAGCUGAGGGAGUUGGCUCCGGCCUUGGCCAGCCCAGAAAGGGGCUCCCACAGUGCAGCGGUGGGCCGAAGGGCUCCUCAAGUGACGCCAAAGUGGGAGACCAAGCAGAGGAGGUGCCAAGAGCAAGCGAGGGGCUGUGAGGACUGCCAGCACGCUGUCACCUCUCACCGGGGCCGAGGAACAGGAGCACCGCAGACCUUCUGGACAGUCAGACUGGCUUUGGAAAUGAUUAAAAGUUGAUCUGGGCCUGGGCAGAAGGGCAUGGCUGUUAGCCAAAGCUGAACUGCAUUCAUCUUCAAAGACUUAAGAGAAGCAGCCCCUUCUACCCUCAGCCACCAGGACCAUUCUGUCACAUUCUGUGGGAGGCUCCUGCUAAUGGAAUGAGGCCACUCACAGAGCUUGGUCAAUUAGCUCUUGCUGAAAACUGCUAACGUGGAACUUUGUCUUCCCAUCGCCCGCAGAAGGUGCCAGGUGCUGCCUUUGUUGUUAAUGCUCCUCCCACCACCCCAUGGAGACUUGAUGGGCCCCAGAUGUGCUGGGUCAGGAUGUUACCACACAGCAGGUGGAUCCUGUCUCUCCAUGAGUGUAUUCGUCCAUUCUGCAGUGCUAUGAAGAAACACCUGAAACUGGGUAAUUUAUAAGAAAAGAGGUUUAAUUGGCUAACAGUUCCACAGGCUGUACAGGAAGCAUGGCUAGGGAGGCCUCAGGAAACUUUCAAUCAUGGCAGAAGGCAAAGGGGAAGCUGGCACGUCUUCCAUGGCCAGAGAGUGAGGAAGAGAGAGAGGAGGGGGAGGGGCUGCACACAUUUAAAUGACCAGAUCUUGUGAGAUCUCACUCGCUAUCACGAGAACAGCAAGGGGAAAGUCCUACCCCAUGAUCCAGUCACCUCCCACCAGGGAGCUCCUCCAAUGCUGAGGAUUACAAUUCAACAUGAGAUUUGGGUGGGGACACAAAUCUAAACUAUAUUGUCACUGGUGGAGGGUUGUGACUGCAGGUUGUCCAGGUUCUUGGCCUAUUGAACAAAGAAUUGGACAAAAUGCCCAGCAAGGCAAAGAAAGAAUGAAGCAACAAAAGAAUGAAAAUGGGGAUUUAUCGAAAACGAAAGUACACUCCAUGGUUUGGGAGUGGACCGAGCAGCAGCUCAAGGGCCCAGAUACGGAAUCUUCUUGGGUCCAAAUAUCCUCUAGAAGUUUCCCAUUGGCCACAUCAUGCUCACCUCAUGUAAAUGAAGUGGUGGCCUGCAAUCAGUCUGAUUGGUUACAGAAAGCAGCCAACCAGAGGCUGAAGUGAAGUUACAAAGGUUACACUCCUGUUCAACCAAUCAGAGACUAGGGUGAAGUUACAAAGUUAUACUUCUAUUGAAACGAAGAUGUGGCCAGCAAUCAGUCUGAUUGGUUGUGGACAGCAGCCAUUCAGAGGCUGGAGUGAAGUUACAAAGUGGCAAACAAAGACUGGACCUUCAAUCAAUCUGAUUGGUUGUGGACAGCCAAUUUCCCAUCUGCCUAGCAGAAAAGGUGAGGGGGUUGCAAAGGGAGUAGCCUGUGGUCCUUUUGUUACUUAGGCAUGGAAAGGUAGGGUUCUGCCUUCAAUUUAGUUCUAGGAAGUCGGUGUGAAACAGGCUUAGGUUCCCUGUGUCCAGACCCUAUUCUCCUGCCUCAAUAUUGGUAUCACCCAAUGAUCACCCAGUGACCAUAACCAAGGAGGAUUUAGCAAUGGGAUUUUGUUACUUGUAACAGGGAACCAGCAGGGACAGUUCCCAAGGCAGUGUGUCUCUGAGCUGGGCACUGGGUCAAAUUUUAGAAGCAUAGGCUAACGAGGUGUGAUGUUACUGGAAACUGCCAUGGGGGUGACACCAGAGCUCCAACUGCUUUUUUUUUUUUUAAUUUAUUAUUAUUAUACUUUAAGUUUUAGGGUACAUGUGCACAAUGUGCAGGUUAGUUACAUAUGUAUACAUGUGCCAUGCUGGUGCGCUGCACCCACUAACUCGUCAUCUAGCAUUAGGUAUAUCUCCCAGUGCUAUCCCUCUCCCCUCCCCCCACCCCACAACAGUCCCCAGAGUGUGAUGUUCCCCUUCCUGUGUCCAUGUGUUCUCAUUAUUCAAUUCCCACCUAUGAGUGAGAAUAUGCGGUGUUUGGUUUUUUGUUCUUGCAAUAGUUUACUGAGAAUGAUGAUUUC